UACGUAGGUGGCGAGCGUUAUCCGGAUUUACUGGGUGUAAAGGGCGUGUAGGCGAGUUUGCAAGUCGGGUGUGAAAGAUUCGGGCUUAACCCGGAGAGGUCAUCCGAAACUGCAGAUCUUGAGUGCUGGAGAGGAUAGUGGAAUUCCUGGUGUAGCGGUAAAAUGCGUAGAGAUCAGGAGGAACACCAGUGGCGAAGGCGGCUAUCUGGACAGUAACUGACGCUGAGGCGCGAAAGCGCGGGGAGCAAACAGGAUUAGAUACCCCUGUA
RNAcentral lists this ribosomal RNA (269 nucleotides) under uncultured prokaryote. RNAcentral describes it as "partial 16S ribosomal RNA". It matches the Rfam family "Bacterial small subunit ribosomal RNA", at positions 524 to 792 of the family's 1533-position model. The record is from RNAcentral.